GGAUGGAUUGCAUGGGNUGAAUUGUUCCCUGCUUGUGCAGCGAAAUUUUUCCUYGCAAUCCUYUUCAUUGUUGCUUCAAGAGAAAUUUUUCCUUGAGCGGNUNUCGGGUCCCUGUGUUGCAUACCAUUUGAAGGAAUUUGAACMGAAAGAUGAUCAAUUUCGUCUUGUGCCACAUUGUGGCAUUAGGUGAAUCCCGAAGUACCUUUCGUGCUACNACGCAUGCCUCCAAAAANAAUUGGUGCUUGCUUGGCGCAUGGAUGGAUACUCGUGCUCUCGGAUGCGGAAUAUAUUGUGGAUAAGCGGUCUACUGAUUGCUUGUGCCCAAAAUUGUCCCUUUAUUGAACGACUAUCAUAACCGCGUGCCCCAUUCGAUUUU
This 376-nucleotide unclassified non-coding RNA is filed under the name Primula suffrutescens. RNAcentral describes it as "partial external transcribed spacer". Lineage: Eukaryota; Viridiplantae; Streptophyta; Magnoliopsida; Ericales; Primulaceae. The record is from RNAcentral.